GACAGAGGGUGCAAACGUUGUUCGGAAUUACUGGGCGUAAAGCGCGUGUAGGCGGCUAUGCAAGUCGGAUGUGAAAUCCCGCGGCUCAACCGUGGAAGUGCAUCCGAAACUGCGUGGCUAGAGUCCCGGAGAGGAAGGUGGAAUACUUUGUGUAGAGGUGAAAUUCGUAGAUAUCAAGUGGAACACCGGUGGCGAAGGCGGCCUUCUGGACGGUGACUGACGCUGAGACGCGAAAGCGUGGGUAGCAAACAGGAUUAGAUACCCUGGUA
RNAcentral lists this ribosomal RNA (269 nucleotides) under uncultured prokaryote. Its description in RNAcentral is "partial 16S ribosomal RNA". It matches the Rfam family "Bacterial small subunit ribosomal RNA", at positions 524 to 792 of the family's 1533-position model. The record is from RNAcentral.